Molecule: long non-coding RNA, 690 nt
Filed under: Lathyrus oleraceus (garden pea)
Lineage: Eukaryota; Viridiplantae; Streptophyta; Magnoliopsida; Fabales; Fabaceae
Description: Pisum sativum (pea) long non-coding RNA (PSAT_LNC032156)
Source: RNAcentral
UAGAACCGGCAGCUGAUUUCAAGCAGUUACAGGCAGCCUGACGAUCCGGCGUGGUGGUGGCGGCAGCAAGAAGCUUCUUCACUCCUGCACAGCAUGGCGGUGGAGGACUGGCAUUAUUAGGAGCUUGAAGAUAAGUAAGGCAUGGAGCCAAAUCACCGGAUACAGUUCCACAUGACAAAGCAGCUUCUGCCAUAAGCUUGAAGAUAAGUAAGGCAUGGAGCCAAAUCACCGGAUACAGUUCCACAUGACAAAGCAGCUUCUGCCAUAGGCGCAAUAACUACCAUGCACAUCACCAAAGCAACACAUGCUAAUUUCAUGCUUCUUGCCAUUUUUGUUUUCUUUGUUUUCUAUUCUUUUUCUUAGUUUGUUUGAAUGGUGUGUAAUGUCUUUGUGGGAGGGGGUUUAUAUAGAAAAUAAGAUAAGGUGUGAAGAUGAAUAGAGUGAUGAAUUUUUGGUGAAUGUGCAUCAAAAUUGGGUGGUAGUUGUGAGUUCAAUUAAUGAUGUAUGGUCCAUUAUCUAUAAUUAUUGGAAUUGGAUCUCUACAAUUUUUUCUUCUCAUGUCUUCUCUCAUGUGCAAUUAUGCAUGGUUGAAUCAAUCUAAUAGUUAAAAAAUAAUAAAGAUAAAAAAAUAUCAUUUAAAAAAAUAGAGAAACAUAUGUUUAAUUUUAUUUAAUUUUUUUUCAUUUAUAA